CCCUUAGAUGUUCUGGGCUGCACGCGCGCUACACUGAAGCUAUCAACACGUUUUCCCUCCCUGAGAAGGGCGGGUAACCUUUUGAAUCAGCUUCGUGGUAGGGAUCGGGGCUUGCAAUUGUUCCCCGUGAACCAGGAAUUCCUAGUAGACGCGAGUCAUAAGCUCGCAUCGAUUAAGUCCCUGCCCUUUGUACACACCGCCCGUCGCUACUACCGAUUGAACGUUUUAGUGAGGCAUUUGGACCGACGCCUCUCAGUUUAACCGCUGGUUUGUGUUGGAAAGACUUCCAAACUUGAGCGUUUAGAGGAAGUAAAAGUCGUAACA
Molecule: ribosomal RNA, 324 nt
Filed under: uncultured eukaryote
Lineage: Eukaryota
Description: partial 18S ribosomal RNA
Rfam family: Eukaryotic small subunit ribosomal RNA
Source: RNAcentral